RNAcentral lists this ribosomal RNA (506 nucleotides) under uncultured bacterium. Its description in RNAcentral is "partial 16S ribosomal RNA". It matches the Rfam family "Bacterial small subunit ribosomal RNA", at positions 30 to 523 of the family's 1533-position model. The record is from RNAcentral.
AUUGAACGCUGGCGGCAGGCCUAACACAUGCAAGUCGAACGGUAGCACAGAGGAGCUUGCUCCUUGGGUGACGAGUGGCGGACGGGUGAGUAAUGUCUGGGAAACUGCCCGAUGGAGGGGGAUAACUACUGGAAACGGUAGCUAAUACCGCAUAACGUCUUCGGACCAAAGUGGGGGACCUUCGGGCCUCACACCAUCGGAUGUGCCCAGAUGGGAUUAGCUAGUAGGUGGGGUAAUGGCUCACCUAGGCGACGAUCCCUAGCUGGUCUGGGAGGAUGACCAGCCAAACUGGAACUGAGACACGGUCCAGACUCCUACGGGAGGCAGCAGUGGGGAAUAUUGCACAAUGGGCGCAAGCCUGAUGCAGCCAUGCCGCGUGUAUGAAGAAGGCCUUCGGGUUGUAAAGUACUUUCAGCGGGGAGGAAGGCGAUGGAGUUAAUAGCUUCAUCGAUUGACGUUACCCGCAGAAGAAGCACCGGCUAACUCCGUGCCAGCAGCCGCCGUAA